CACCUUUUGAAGAUGGUACUUUUAAACUAGUAAUAGAAUUUUCUGAAGAAUAUCCAAAUAAACCACCAACUGUUAGGUUUUUAUCCAAAAUGUUUCAUCCAAAUGUGUAUGCUGAUGGUAGCAUAUGUUUAGAUAUCCUUCAGAAUCGAUGGAGUCCAACAUAUGAUGUAUCUUCUAUCUUAACAUCAAUUCAGUGUCUUGCUCUGUUGCCCAGACUGGAGUGCAAUGGCACAAUCUUGGCUCACCGCAACCUCUGCCUCCCGGGUUCAAGUGAUUAUCCUGCCUCAGCCUCCUGAGUAGCUAGGACUAUAGGCACAUGCUACCACGCCUGGCUAAGUUUUUGUAUUUUUAGUAGAGAUGGGGUUUCACAGUGUUAGCCAGGAUGGUCUCCAUCUGACCUCAUGAUCCGCCCGUCUGAGCCUCCGAAAGUGUUGGGAUUACAGGCGUGAGCUACUGCACCAGGCCAGUUCUGGUCAUCUUACAAGCGUUGUUUUUCAACCUUCCUAUCUCAUUCUCUUCCUGCUAAAUGUAUAUGUUUUGUUGAUUAAAGGAAAUAAGACUUAUCUCCCAAAUUUACUGUCAAGACAUUUGCAAAGUAACUGCAGUAAUAGAGUUUAACCUUGGAAAAUGUUGGUUACUGAGAAUUAUUGAUAUCUUAACCAAAUUAAGCUGUUUAUUUCCUUGGUUUAAUGAGAACGUCUCAAUAUGCUUAAGAAUAUUCUUUUCUGAUUUCUUUCAAAUUAUAGGUAUUUUUUUCUUUUCUUUUUUCUUUUUUUUUUUUUUGAGACGGAAUUUCACCCUUGUUGCCCAGGCUGGAGUACAGUGGCGCGAUCUCAGCUCACUGCAACCUCUGCCUCCCGGGUUCAAGCAAUUCUCCUGCCUCAGCCUUCCGAGUAGCGGAUUACGGGCAUGCGCCACCACACCCGGCUAAUUUUGUAUUUUUAGAAAUUACGGGGUUUUCUCCAUGUUGGUCAGGCUGGUCUCGAACUCCCUACCUCAGGUGAUCUGCCCGCCUCGGCCUCCCACAGUGCUGGGAUUACAGGCGUGAGCCACCACACCCGACCUCUUUUUCUUUUUUAAUAGAAACAGGGUCUCCCUAUGUUGCCCAGGCUGGGCUUGAACUGCUGGGCUCAAGGGAUCCUCCUGCCUUGGCCUCCCAAAGUGUUAGGAUUACAGGCACAAGCCACUGUACCCAGCUGAAAUUAUAGGUCUUAAGGCAAUUGAGAACUUUAUUUCAGAAGCUUAAGUUCCUUAGCAGCAGGAAACCCCAUAGUAUUUAUCAAAUCAUUUCUAAAAGUAUUUAGACCCAAAAUUAUAUGACAUGUUAAUCUCUGAAGUAAUUUGUUGUUUUGUAUAACUUUUCUGUAAUAUAUUCCAUAUCUGACCCCUGUUGGUAUAAAGAACAACUAUGCAAAUCUGUUUUUUCUUUUCUUUCCUCCUAGUCUCUGCUGGAUGAACCGAAUCCUAACAGUCCAGCCAAUAGCCAGGCAGCACAGCUUUAUCAGGAAAACAAACGAGAAUAUGAGAAAAGAGUUUCGGCCAUUGUUGAACAAAGCUGGAAUGAUUCAUAAUAGACAACUGGUCUGUUAAUCUUUUUCAUCAUUGUUGUGUAUAAUUUACCUCUCAUUAGAAAGGCUAACAAAUUUUAAGUGCCACAGGUUUUAAGGAUUCUGCAG
RNAcentral lists this long non-coding RNA (1676 nucleotides) under Homo sapiens (human). RNAcentral describes it as "HSALNT0094637". Lineage: Eukaryota; Metazoa; Chordata; Mammalia; Primates; Hominidae. The record is from RNAcentral.